UACGUAUGGUGCGAGCGUUGUCCGGAAUUAUUGGGCGUAAAGGGUACGUAGGCUGUUUAUCAAGUCAGAUGUUAAAGCGUGAGGCUCAACCUCAUAAAGCAUUUGAAACUGGUAGACUUGAGUAGUGGAGAGGAAAGUGGAAUUCCUAGUGUAGCGGUGAAAUGCGUAGAUAUUAGGAGGAAUACCAGUAGCGAAGGCGACUUUCUGGACACAAACUGACGCUGAGGUGCGAAAGCGUGGGGAGCAAACAGG
Molecule: ribosomal RNA, 252 nt
Filed under: uncultured Gallicola sp.
Lineage: Bacteria; Bacillati; Bacillota; Tissierellia; Tissierellales; Peptoniphilaceae
Description: partial 16S ribosomal RNA
Rfam family: Bacterial small subunit ribosomal RNA
Source: RNAcentral